Molecule: transfer RNA, 87 nt
Filed under: Rickettsiales bacterium
Lineage: Bacteria; Pseudomonadati; Pseudomonadota; Alphaproteobacteria; Rickettsiales
Description: tRNA-Ser
Rfam family: tRNA
About the family: Transfer RNA (tRNA) molecules are approximately 80 nucleotides in length. Their secondary structure includes four short double-helical elements and three loops (D, anti-codon, and T loops).
Source: RNAcentral
GGAAAGGUGGCUGAGCGGUCGAAGGCGUUAGUUUGCUAAACUAAAGUGUAAAAAUUUACACCAUGGGUUCGAAUCCCAUUCUUUCCG